RNAcentral lists this long non-coding RNA (1107 nucleotides) under Anas platyrhynchos platyrhynchos (common mallard). RNAcentral describes it as "lncRNA (ENSAPLG00000019507.1)". Lineage: Eukaryota; Metazoa; Chordata; Aves; Anseriformes; Anatidae. The record is from RNAcentral.
CACAGUUAAAUGCUUGAACCUUAAUGAUAAUUGCUACUAAUCCUUCAAGAAAAAUGAUCAGAGUUCAGUAAACCACAAGGAGCAGAUUUUGCUGUAAACUUCAGAAACAUCUCACCACAAAGUCACCGUCAUGAUGACCUGUACUUCCAACAUAAAUAACUGAAGAAAAGCUUGAAAGAAAGAAAAUGAGAAGACAGGAAUGUGGGUUCCAUGGAACUUGGAAGAAUCAAAGUGGGAAUCCUGGGAACCGAUGCCAUAGAAUAAAGUUGCUGCUUCAUUCCAUAGGUGAGGAAAUUGAAGAAAUAAAACCAAGAGAAGGAUAAACAAGGAUAUUUUUUAUUUCCAGUAUUUUUUUUUUUUCUGUGUUUCAUUUUAGGGCAUAUUCUGCUUUCAUGUGCAGAGCUGUAAGCCCAGAGCAGCUCAGCAACAUGCUCCUAUAGUCAGUCCUUCCCUGACUCUGUUGAUUCAAUGCAUAAAAGGUUGACAGUGAAGAAAACGUGAAAUACAGUAUAAUGAAUAGAAGCAGCUGCAACAGCAUCACGGUCUGUCUGCAAGCAGAUGACCAUUCCUGUCUGAAAAUGUUCCAAAAACCUGCCUGAAUUUAAUUUUCUCUUUAAAACUGAAAGUGUUCUGAUUAUUAUUCAAUAAUUAAUUACAUAUUUUAUAAACAGGCUUUAUGCAAUGUGCAGUACUUUUGGGAAAGCUCACCACAAAUAGUGAUUCACGUAGACAAGUGUCUAGAAUUGUAUUUUUUAUUUAUUUAUUUUUUUUUUAGUAAAAAAUAUUUUCUAAUAUUGAAAGCCAGUGGUAUUACAUUACUUUUCACAACUGUUUUUAUCACCAGGGUCUUGGUAAGGUUAUCUUCUGCUUGCAGAUUCCUCAUUGUGUAAGUUUUAAGUGCAGCACAUGUAGCUUUUUGGCUAAAUAUCUAUGGAGUAUACUUUACAUAUGUAAGACCACCUACAUAUUAAUGUGUUUUUAAAAAUAUAUAAUAUUGAAAGAACAGAUAAAAUGAUUCCAUGGGACUGUGAAAAACAAAACAAAACACAAAAUUUUCAGGUACAAAAAAAAAGGAAAAAAGAAAAAUAAAAUUUGAAAAAGGCAACA